UCCAUUGUCACACUUUCUUCAUAAGCAAGAAAUUCCAUAAUUGUGCAAACUUGGUCACCAUGCCAUGACUUGGUCAUUCUUGCCUUACCUUGCCACACAUUGCCUUGCAUUUUUCCUUGCCUACCAUGACAAACCAGUCCUAUAAUGCAUACCCCUUCAUCAAUCCACACCAUGAGAUGUACCUCAACAUGGCUCCAAUCAUGACUUGUACUACAACAAUGCCAUUUUAUGUGUUGUGCUGCACCAACUGAACCUGCAAAUCACAGCAUUGGCCUUAGGCUUGCAAACAAAACCAACUCACCAUGAAACUACUAAAAUACAAGGAAAAAUCACAAACCACCCUUCAGAUGUUGAAAUCAGACCAAGCCCUCCAUUUUCACUGCAGUAAAAAGGAUUGAUUAGCCAACAGUAAAAUGCAAAAAUCAGAAAAAUUCCCAAUUUGGAAUAGAGAUGAAAUUCAAAGAAGAAAGCGAAGGUUCAGAUUACCACUUUCGAACCUAGCACCAAAGAAGUCAAACCAAGUUCUGAGCAUCAAAAAGUGUUUCGCAGGAUGCUCUUUUGAACACAAGGGCACCAAUUUGAAACCCUAGCUG
RNAcentral lists this long non-coding RNA (593 nucleotides) under Lathyrus oleraceus (garden pea). Its description in RNAcentral is "Pisum sativum (pea) long non-coding RNA (PSAT_LNC020817)". The record is from RNAcentral. Lineage: Eukaryota; Viridiplantae; Streptophyta; Magnoliopsida; Fabales; Fabaceae.